This 217-nucleotide ribosomal RNA is filed under the name uncultured bacterium. RNAcentral describes it as "partial 16S ribosomal RNA". It matches the Rfam family "Bacterial small subunit ribosomal RNA", at positions 521 to 737 of the family's 1533-position model. The record is from RNAcentral.
UAAUACGUAGGGGGCAAGCGUUGUCCGGAAUCAUUGGGCGUAAAGCGCGUGUAGGCGGUCCGGUAAGUCGGCUGUGAAAGUCCAGGGCUCAACCCUGGGAUGCCGGUCGAUACUGCCGGACUAGAGUUCGGAAGAGGCGAGUGGAAUUCCCGGUGUAGCGGUGAAAUGCGCAGAUAUCGGGAGGAACACCAAUGGCGAAGGCGACUAACUGGUCCAG